Molecule: non-coding RNA, 17 nt
Filed under: Mus musculus (house mouse)
Lineage: Eukaryota; Metazoa; Chordata; Mammalia; Rodentia; Muridae
Source: RNAcentral
UCAACACCAGCUAGAGC